GAUGAACGCUGGCGGCGUGCUUAACACAUGCAAGUCGAACGGAAAGGCCCCUGCUUGCAGGGGUACUCGAGUGGCGAACGGGUGAGUAACACGUGGAUGAUCUGCCCUGCACUUCGGGAUAAUCCUGGGAAACUGGGUCUAAUACCGGCUAGGACGAUGCUUUGGAUGCCAUUGUGGAAAGUUUUUUCGGUGUGGGAUGAGCUCGCGGCCUAUCAGCUUGUUGGUGGGGUAAUGGCCUACCAAGGCGUCGACGGGUAGCCGGCCUGAGAGGGUGUACGGCCACAUUGGGACUGAGGUACGGCCCAGACUCCUACGGGAGGCAGCAGUGGGGAAUAUUGCCCAAUGGUCGCAAGCCUGAUGCAGCGACGCCGCGUGGGGGAUGACGGCCUUCGGGUUGUAAACUCCUUUCGCUAGGGACGAAGCGCAAGUGACGGUACCUGGAGAAGAAGCACCGGCUAACUACGUG
This 466-nucleotide ribosomal RNA is filed under the name uncultured bacterium. RNAcentral's name for it is "partial 16S ribosomal RNA". It matches the Rfam family "Bacterial small subunit ribosomal RNA", at positions 28 to 507 of the family's 1533-position model. The record is from RNAcentral.